This 372-nucleotide ribosomal RNA is filed under the name uncultured bacterium. Its description in RNAcentral is "bacterial SSU rRNA". It matches the Rfam family "Bacterial small subunit ribosomal RNA", at positions 29 to 429 of the family's 1533-position model. The record is from RNAcentral.
AACGAACGCUGGCGGCAUGCCUAACACAUGCAAGUCGAACGAGACCUUCGGGUCUAGUGGCGCACGGGUGCGUAACACGUGGGAAUUUGCCUCGGGGUAUGGAAUAACUCAGGGAAACUUGAGCUAAUACCAUAUAAUGUCUUCGGACCAAAGAUUUAUCGCCCUGAGAUAAGCCCGCGUAGGAUUAGCUAGUUGGUGAGGUAAAGGCUCACCAAGGCGACGAUCCUUAGCUGGUCUGAGAGGAUGAUCAGCCACACUGGGACUGAGACACGGCCCAGACUCCUACGGGAGGCAGCAGUGGGGAAUAUUGGACAAUGGGCCGAAAGCCUGAUCCAGCAAUGCCGCGUGAGUGAUGAAGGCCUCGGUUGUAAG